This 253-nucleotide ribosomal RNA is filed under the name uncultured bacterium. RNAcentral's name for it is "partial 16S ribosomal RNA". It matches the Rfam family "Bacterial small subunit ribosomal RNA", at positions 524 to 776 of the family's 1533-position model. The record is from RNAcentral.
UACGUAGGGUGCGAGCGUUAAUCGGAAUUACUGGGCGUAAAGCGUGCGUAGGCGGUUCGUUAAGUCAGCUGUGAAAGCCCCGGGCUCAACCUGGGAAUUGCGAUGGAGACUGCAAGGCUUGAAUCUGGCAGAGGGGGGUAGAAUUCCACGUGUAGCAGUGAAAUGCGUAGAGAUGUGGAGGAACACCGAUGGCGAAGGCAGCCCCCUGGGUCAAGAUUGACGCUCAUGCACGAAAGCGUGGGGAGCAAACAGG